Molecule: ribosomal RNA, 235 nt
Filed under: uncultured bacterium
Lineage: Bacteria
Description: partial 16S ribosomal RNA
Rfam family: Bacterial small subunit ribosomal RNA
Source: RNAcentral
CGGAACGUGUCCUGUUGUGGGGGAGUAACUGAUCGAAAGAUCAGCUAAUACCGCAUGAGACCUGAGGGUGAAAGCGGGGGAGUCGCAAGACCUCGCGCGACAGGAGCGGCCGAUGUCUGAUUAGCUAGUUGGUGAGAUAAAAGCUUACCAAGGCGACGAUCAGUAGCUGGUCUGAGAGGAUGAUCAGCCACAUUGGGACUGAGACACGGCCCAGACUCCUACGGGAGGCAGCAUG